RNAcentral lists this ribosomal RNA (481 nucleotides) under uncultured bacterium. RNAcentral describes it as "partial 16S ribosomal RNA". It matches the Rfam family "Bacterial small subunit ribosomal RNA", at positions 28 to 507 of the family's 1533-position model. The record is from RNAcentral.
GAUGAACGCUGGCGGCGUGCUUAACACAUGCAAGUCGAACGAAGCAUUUAAGACAGAUUACUUCGGUUUGAGGUCUUUUAUGACUGAGUGGCGGACGGGUGAGUAACGCGUGGGUAACCUGCCUCAUACAGGGGGAUAGCAGCUGGAAACGGCUGGUAAUACCGCAUAAGCGCACAGUACCACAUGGUACAGUGUGAAAAACUCCGGUGGUAUGAGAUGGACCCGCGUCUGAUUAGCUUGUUGGCGGGGUAACGGCCCACCAAGGCGACGAUCAGUAGCCGACCUGAGAGGGUGACCGGCCACAUUGGGACUGAGACACGGCCCAGACUCCUACGGGAGGCAGCAGUGGGGAAUAUUGCACAAUGGAGGAAACUCUGAUGCAGCGACGCCGCGUGAGUGAAGAAGUAGUUCGCUAUGUAAAGCUCUAUCAGCAGGGAAGAUAGUGACGGUACCUGACGAAGAAGCACCGGCUAAAUACGUG